CACUUUGAUGAAAAACAGGAGACGGUGCACCGGAUUGAGUUGAAAAAGAUGCAGAAAAUGGUCGCCCAGUGUUGUCUUGAA
This is a non-coding RNA of Helianthus annuus (common sunflower), 81 nucleotides long. NCBI's taxonomy places the organism in Eukaryota, Viridiplantae, Streptophyta, Magnoliopsida, Asterales, Asteraceae. The record is from Rfam.